Molecule: non-coding RNA, 357 nt
Organism: Myripristis murdjan (pinecone soldierfish)
Lineage: Eukaryota; Metazoa; Chordata; Actinopteri; Holocentriformes; Holocentridae
Source: the annotation of a RefSeq genome assembly
AUCACUGAGUCAGCAAUGUUGACUCUCUGCUCACUGAUCUCAUUCUGCAUGUUAUGGGGUCAAAGUGUUGGAGACACCAUCACACCAGAGAAGGAUGCUGAACAAGCCGCUGAGGGCAGUAAAGUGAAGCUCUCCUGCAGAUACAGCAGCUCUCGAGUUUACAGUCUGUUAUGGUACCGCCAGUAUCCUGGAUCAGCUCCCCAGUUCCUCAUAAUGGAAAACUCAGGAGUCGUAAAUAAUCCCAUACCAGGACUGGGCAUCCAACACGUCAAAGAGCAGAGUCGAGUGGAUCUGGAGAUCUCCUCUGCUGCAGUGACACACUCUGCUCUGUACUACUGUGGUUACCUCAGCCAAUAG